CGGGUUUUGUUCGUCUUC
RNAcentral lists this small nuclear RNA (18 nucleotides) under Arabidopsis thaliana (thale cress). RNAcentral's name for it is "snRNA_12709". The record is from RNAcentral. Lineage: Eukaryota; Viridiplantae; Streptophyta; Magnoliopsida; Brassicales; Brassicaceae.